GAUGAACGCUGGCGGCGUGCCUAAUACAUGCAAGUCGAGCGAACAGACGAGGAGCUUGCUCCUCUGACGUUAGCGGCGGACGGGUGAGUAACACGUGGAUAACCUACCUAUAAGACUGGGAUAACUUCGGGAAACCGGAGCUAAUACCGGAUAAUAUAUUGAACCGCAGGGUUCAAUGGUGAAAGACGGUUUUGCUGUCACUAAUAGAUGGAUCCGCGCCGCAUUAGCUAGUUGGUAAGGUAACGGCUUACCAAGGCGACGAUGCGUAUCCGAGCUGAGAGGGUGAUCGGCCACACUGGAACUGAGACACGGUCCAGACUCCUACGGGAGGCAGCAGUAGGGAAUCUUCCGCAAUGGGCGAAAGCCUGACGGAGCAACGCCGCGUGAGUGAUGAAGGUCUUCGGAUCGUAAAACUCUGUUAUUAGGGAAGAACAAAUGUGUAAUUAACUAUGCACGUCUUGACGGUACCUAAUCAGAAAGCCACGGCUAACUACGUG
Molecule: ribosomal RNA, 497 nt
Filed under: uncultured bacterium
Lineage: Bacteria
Description: partial 16S ribosomal RNA
Rfam family: Bacterial small subunit ribosomal RNA
Source: RNAcentral